Molecule: long non-coding RNA, 2428 nt
Organism: Gasterosteus aculeatus aculeatus (three-spined stickleback)
Lineage: Eukaryota; Metazoa; Chordata; Actinopteri; Perciformes; Gasterosteidae
Source: Ensembl
UUCUACGUCUCUUUUUAUAUGAUCCGGUGACGUUGUUUAUUUCACAGUGAGAGUGGAAAAGUUCACGCUCACGCAGCGGGAACAGUGGUAAUAAAUCCAAAUGAAUAAACAGGCCGGCACACUGGCUUUAACCCGUCACGUUUUCCUCUCUGUGGCGUUGAUUUUCACUGCGAUAUAUGAAUCCUGCGCCUCUAAGGGAACAGCACAAUGUAGCGAGGAGGAUGGAAUUUAUUACAAGAAAUUCUAAAACAACAUUUUCCCAAUAGUCUUAUCAAUGUUGGGGCAAAAGCACGGAGGCUCUACGUGCUGUAUGUAUUUUACCUUUUACAUUCGUUCAGGAGGAUAAAAAGACAGAAAAAACCUCUUCAGACACGCGCUGAAAAAUUACAGGUUUUGAAUCCACAAUAUCCGAUGUUUUGAGUUUCCUCGGUCUCAUUUUUAACAGAACAAGGAGGUUCAGUUUAGUCGGACCGCACCACUCCAAUCUUCAGUGCGAUCCCCGAGCCCCUUCUAUUUCCCGGCAACGCUUCCCACUCAAGAGAAUUUGACGGUUAGGGGACGGGGGGGACGGGGGGGGGGUGUCUUCAUGAGCUUUUUAUUUAUUUAUCAUGUGAUGUACGGGCGCCACAUAGAGCAUCUGUACACGUAUGUUGUUGACGUAUUCUAUACAUUUACGAUUCUGCCCUUUUGGUGAUUAUUCUCUCUCACAGUUUAUAUCUGCACUCUCCCCCCUCUGUUCGCAACUUCGCUGUGGAUCAAUUUGCCUCAGGAUAAAUAAAGAUGUAUCUUAUCUCUCGUCACAUACAGGCAGCAGGCUUCUCAUUUGUGGCUGGGUAGGGUGACGGAUUAGAUCAGCUGUAGAUAAUUAACAUUCAUUCUGUAGAGGCCUAAAUGAAAGGUCUUCUCUCUGCAGCUGGUCUCUAUUCAGACAAAGAUCGUUUGUGAGUGGCAAGACGCAGCACUGUGCAGCGCCAAUGCAGCGCAGAGGAGGGGCGAUUUGUUCAUUUCUCACAUCCUCUGGUUCUAUGGACGAGGACGAGCACUCUGAUUAAGGCAAAAACUGCGUCUCCUUCUCCGCCACCUACAGGUGAUUAGACAGCUUUGAGUUACAGGUAGCUUAUUUUAGCCUUUAACGACAGUGAACCUAAAAACAUCUUCAUCAUGUGACUGCUCGUGUUUCUUGGACUCAAGGUGUUGCAGCAUUCUCAGAGAACUUCUACUAAAUAACUAACGUUAUUUAAGACGUGGGCGUGGUGGUCGUACUGAGGUCACCCAUCGGUUUGUGGAAUAUUGAAGGCUGGAGUUCUGCGGUUCGGAAAACGCCAUCUUGGCUUUUUCCCCCGGGGAAGAGAAGCUACCACAUCGGAAAUGCAGAGGAGGGACUUAAAGAUGCUGCUCCUGUCAAUAACAAAUCCAUUGGUCAACAUCGCCACUAGUGGGGAUCGGUAAAGCAGACUACGGCCAGUGAGCCGGCCCUGCCAGUUGGAACCACCAACUGGCCCAGACAGGAGAGCCCGGGUGGAAGCUAAGUUAACCCAGGGUACCACUACCCAGCAUGCCCCUGGCUGUCUGACGUUCUGUUGAAGAAAAAUAAGUUGGCUGAGAGGAGCUGCAGGUCGGAGACUGUAGAGCCCACGUCUCAAUCGGAGACCCGGGUCCAUCGUGGUCCCGGACCAAGCUGCUGGAUAUCAGGACAGAGAAAACGUUUUGUUGCUGCUUAUGAUGCACCUUUUUUAAAAAGGUGCACUACAGAAAUGUGCUGCUGUUUUGGUUUUGUUUGUCACGUGUUGUGUUACAAAUGGGCUACAAAUGGACCACAUCAGCACAUGCUCAAACAACGUAUGUUUGAAUGGCGCUCUGAAAGCUCGUCCUUCGAAAAUUGACUCUCCCUCUGCAGAUCUUUUUUUAUCAGACGUCCGUAAAAAGCAAGAAGCAAAGGAUUCAAACCCGAAAGCCCCAGUGUUAAUCUCACGAGUCGAUGCUGAGUUCAGAUCUCAGCUGUUUACCCCAAGAGGGCAGAGGGAGGGAUACGGCGCCCUCUCAGCUCCCAGAUGUGGCGUCUAGGAUUAGCUGGGCGCUGAUCCGGCCUGCUUGGCCAGAAUGAGGUUUUUAAAGCCCUAUUUAGGUCAACCGUUUUCCUACAUCAACAUUCGCUGGUUGCAAUGAGAGCAUGUCGCCGUGUGUAUUCAAUGGAAACACAACGGUUUUGUCGUUUGGAUCUCGAGAAAACUGCUGUCUUUUUCUUUUCUUUGAUCAGCAGCAGCUGUAUUGUGGCAAGAAUAGAAAAAGGUGGAAACGCAUGAUUCUGCAGUGACUUCUGAUGUCUUUUCUCCUCCCACAACAUUGUGUCUGCAGAGAGGUUACUCUUCCUUUUCUCUUCAUCCAAAGAGGAAUCUCAGAAAGUGACCAUCAAUGUAUAUGUAUGUAU